GCGACCAUGGCGGAAUUGGUAGACGCGCUAGAUUCAGGUUCUAGUCGGGGCAGCUCGGUGGAAGUUCGAGUCUUCCUGGUCGCA
This 84-nucleotide transfer RNA is filed under the name Simkania negevensis. RNAcentral's name for it is "tRNA-Leu". It matches the Rfam family "tRNA". Rfam says of the family: Transfer RNA (tRNA) molecules are approximately 80 nucleotides in length. Their secondary structure includes four short double-helical elements and three loops (D, anti-codon, and T loops). The record is from RNAcentral. Lineage: Bacteria; Pseudomonadati; Chlamydiota; Chlamydiia; Parachlamydiales; Simkaniaceae.